UACGUAGGGUGCAAGCGUUGUCCGGAAUUAUUGGGCGUAAAGAGCUCGUAGGCGGUUCGUCGCGUCGGCUGUGAAAUCCCGAGGCUCAACCUCGGGUCUGCAGUCGAUACGGGCGGACUGGAGUACUGCAGGGGAGACUGGAAUUCCUGGUGUAGCGGUGAAAUGCGCAGAUAUCAGGAGGAACACCGGUGGCGAAGGCGGCAUCCUGGACCGGCAUUGACGCUGAACAGCGAAAGCUAGGGGAGCAAACGGG
RNAcentral lists this ribosomal RNA (253 nucleotides) under uncultured bacterium. Its description in RNAcentral is "partial 16S ribosomal RNA". It matches the Rfam family "Bacterial small subunit ribosomal RNA", at positions 524 to 776 of the family's 1533-position model. The record is from RNAcentral.